This 133-nucleotide small RNA is filed under the name Salmonella enterica subsp. enterica serovar Montevideo. RNAcentral describes it as "RtT RNA". It matches the Rfam family "RtT RNA". From Rfam's summary of the family: This family represents a bacterial cis-regulatory element known as RtT RNA. The exact function of RtT is unknown although it is thought that it may be involved in changing the cellular response in relation to amino acid starvation. Lineage: Bacteria; Pseudomonadati; Pseudomonadota; Gammaproteobacteria; Enterobacterales; Enterobacteriaceae. The record is from RNAcentral.
UGCAUCUGAAGCCUGACGAGGAUGAGAACCUCCGGGGGCAAGAGGUUCGACUCGAGCGCAGCGAGAGAACGUUGCGUCAGCAACGGCCCGCAGGGCGAGCCACGCAGUGGCGAGUCAUCCUCUAUCACCGGCA